Molecule: ribosomal RNA, 2230 nt
Filed under: Staphylococcus epidermidis
Lineage: Bacteria; Bacillati; Bacillota; Bacilli; Caryophanales; Staphylococcaceae
Description: partial 23S ribosomal RNA
Rfam family: Bacterial large subunit ribosomal RNA
Source: RNAcentral
GUUGAGUAUUUGGUCGUAGACCCGAAACCAGGUGAUCUACCCUUGGUCAGGUUGAAGUUCAGGUAACACUGAAUGGAGGACCGAACCGACUUACGUUGAAAAGUGAGCGGAUGAACUGAGGGUAGCGGAGAAAUUCCAAUCGAACUUGGAGAUAGCUGGUUCUCUCCGAAAUAGCUUUAGGGCUAGCCUCAAGUGAUGAUUAUUGGAGGUAGAGCACUGUUUGGACGAGGGGCCCCUCUCGGGUUACCGAAUUCAGACAAACUCCGAAUGCCAAUUAAUUUAACUUGGGAGUCAGAACAUGGGUGAUAAGGUCCGUGUUCGAAAGGGAAACAGCCCAGACCACCAGCUAAGGUCCCAAAAUAUAUGUUAAGUGGAAAAGGAUGUGGCGUUGCCCAGACAACUAGGAUGUUGGCUUAGAAGCAGCCAUCAUUUAAAGAGUGCGUAAUAGCUCACUAGUCGAGUGACACUGCGCCGAAAAUGUACCGGGGCUAAACAUAUUACCGAAGCUGUGGAUUGUCCUUUGGACAAUGGUAGGAGAGCGUUCUAAGGGCGUCGAAGCAUGAUCGCAAGGACAUGUGGAGCGCUUAGAAGUGAGAAUGCCGGUGUGAGUAGCGAAAGACGGGUGAGAAUCCCGUCCACCGAUUGACUAAGGUUUCCAGAGGAAGGCUCGUCCGCUCUGGGUUAGUCGGGUCCUAAGCUGAGGCCGACAGGCGUAGGCGAUGGAUAACAGGUUGAUAUUCCUGUACCACCUAGUAUCGUUUUAAUCGAUGGGGGGACGCAGUAGGAUAGGCGAAGCGUGCUGUUGGAGUGCACGUCCAAGCAGUAAGGCUGAGUGUUAGGCAAAUCCGGCACUCAUAAGGCUGAGCUGUGAUGGGGAGAGGAAAUUGUUUCCUCGAGUCGUUGAUUUCACACUGCCGAGAAAAGCCUCUAGAUAGAUAACAGGUGCCCGUACCGCAAACCGACACAGGUAGUCAAGAUGAGAAUUCUAAGGUGAGCGAGCGAACUCUCGUUAAGGAACUCGGCAAAAUGACCCCGUAACUUCGGGAGAAGGGGUGCUCUUUAGGGUUCACGCCCAGAAGAGCCGCAGUGAAUAGGCCCAAGCGACUGUUUAUCAAAAACACAGGUCUCUGCUAAACCGUAAGGUGAUGUAUAGGGGCUGACGCCUGCCCGGUGCUGGAAGGUUAAGAGGAGUGGUUAGCUUCUGCGAAGCUACGAAUCGAAGCCCCAGUAAACGGCGGCCGUAACUAUAACGGUCCUAAGGUAGCGAAAUUCCUUGUCGGGUAAGUUCCGACCCGCACGAAAGGCGUAACGAUUUGGGCACUGUCUCAACGAGAGACUCGGUGAAAUCAUAGUACCUGUGAAGAUGCAGGUUACCCGCGACAGGACGGAAAGACCCCGUGGAGCUUUACUGUAGCCUGAUAUUGAAAUUCGGCACAGCUUGUACAGGAUAGGUAGGAGCCUUUGAAACGUGAGCGCUAGCUUACGUGGAGGCGUUGGUGGGAUACUACCCUAGCUGUGUUGGCUUUCUAACCCGCACCACUUAUCGUGGUGGGAGACAGUGUCAGGCGGGCAGUUUGACUGGGGCGGUCGCCUCCUAAAAGGUAACGGAGGCGCUCAAAGGUUCCCUCAGAAUGGUUGGAAAUCAUUCAUAGAGUGUAAAGGCAUAAGGGAGCUUGACUGCGAGACCUACAAGUCGAGCAGGGUCGAAAGACGGACUUAGUGAUCCGGUGGUUCCGCAUGGAAGGGCCAUCGCUCAACGGAUAAAAGCUACCCCGGGGAUAACAGGCUUAUCUCCCCCAAGAGUUCACAUCGACGGGGAGGUUUGGCACCUCGAUGUCGGCUCAUCGCAUCCUGGGGCUGUAGUCGGUCCCAAGGGUUGGGCUGUUCGCCCAUUAAAGCGGUACGCGAGCUGGGUUCAGAACGUCGUGAGACAGUUCGGUCCCUAUCCGUCGUGGGCGUAGGAAAUUUGAGAGGAGCUGUCCUUAGUACGAGAGGACCGGGAUGGACAUACCUCUGGUGUACCAGUUGUCGUGCCAACGGCAUAGCUGGGUAGCUAUGUAUGGACGGGAUAAGUGCUGAAAGCAUCUAAGCAUGAAGCCCCCCUCAAGAUGAGAUUUCCCAACUUCGGUUAUAAGAUCCCUCGAAGAUGACGAGGUUAAUAGGUUCGAGGUGGAAGCGUGGUGACACGUGGAGCUGACGAAUACUAAUCGAUCGAAGACUUAAUCAAUUU